Molecule: long non-coding RNA, 341 nt
Organism: Neopsephotus bourkii (Bourke's parrot)
Lineage: Eukaryota; Metazoa; Chordata; Aves; Psittaciformes; Psittacidae
Exons: 3
Source: RefSeq, a predicted model, not a curated record
GCGUUCUGCCUCCUCUGCUGCCGGUCGUGGCUGGCCGCCGCUGGCAGCGGGAUGUGGAAGUAAGGGGCGGUGGGCGCCCCUCGGUGUGCCGAAAGCGGUAGCGCAGCUGUAUGGAGAAGGAAGGAGUUGGAACAGUCUUUGAUUAGCUUGCUGUUGCCUGCCAUCUGAACUGAUCAAGGAGUACUCCCCUGGGUGCCUUUGGGCCAUGUGGUGGAAAAGAAAGACAGACCUGGAUUCAUUAGGAGUAACCGAUUUAAUUUUAUAAGGUUGGACCAGAGGAAAGUGAGCAAGUUUCAGGUCCACCCCUGAUUUGUUGCCCUGUCACACCAAAUACCUGCUGA